AAUGGAACAAAUUACUCAGCGACCUAACAAAAUAAAACUUUAAAACAUUUCUCCAAGCCGCUUCUUUUAAACGCAUCUAAGCACACAUCACCCACGGAUGAAAUGAACCUGAAGCAGAAUCCAACAAACUGGAAUCGUAAAUUUACUCGUGUUCAAGAACAGCACACAAAUCACCACCAUUCACAGAAUCACCCUGAACAACGGCCAAAGACUUGAGCACACCACUGUGAGGAGCACUAAUAACAAUUU
This is a non-coding RNA of Schizosaccharomyces pombe (fission yeast), 249 nucleotides long. Lineage: Eukaryota; Fungi; Ascomycota; Schizosaccharomycetes; Schizosaccharomycetales; Schizosaccharomycetaceae. The record is from the annotation of a GenBank genome assembly.